AUGGCGCCGUCGCCGUCCCCGCCGCCGCCGGCGAGCGGAGCGCAGUACGCGCACCAGUUCCUCAACACCGCCCUCUCCCAGCGCGGUCCCUCGGCGCUCCCCUACGCGGAGGACGUCAAGUGGCUCAUCCGCAACCACCUCGUCGCCCUCGCCGACGCCUUCCCCUCGCUCCACCCCAAGGCGGCCCUCUUCACCCACAACGACGGCCGCGCCGCGCACCUGCUCCAGGCCGACGGCACCGUCCCCAUCCACCACGCCGGGGCAACCUACAACCUGCCCGCCGUCAUCUGGCUGCCCGAGACCUACCCGCGCUCCCCGCCCCUCGUCUUCCUCUCCCCCACCCGCGACAUGCUCAUCAAGCCCCACCACCCGCUCGUCGACCGCUCCGGCCUCGUCGCCAACGCCCCCUACCUCCGCUCCUGGGUCUUCCCCUCCUCCAACCUCCUCGACCUCGUCAGAUCCCUCUCCCACCUCUUCGGCCUCGACCCGCCGCUCUUCACCAGAUCCGUCGCAGCCCCGUCUCCCACUCCUCCUCCCGCUCAUCCUGCUCCUCCUCCCGCCGCCGCCUCCCCCGCCAUGCGCCCCGAGGCCGUCUACGCUCCUGUCCCUCGCCCGUACAGGUUCCCGGCAUCGCCCCAGCUCGCCGCGCGCCAGCCGCCCACAGAGGACCCAGCUGAGGUCUUCAAGCGCAACGCCAUCUCCAAGCUUGUCGACACCGCCUACGCGGACGCUGCCGCCCUGCGCACCGCCCGCGAGGCAGAGGUCGACUCCCUCUUCGCCGUGCAGGCCGAGCUGCGUGGCCGAGGGGAGGCGGUGAACGAUGGGGUUCGCAGGAUCACGGAGGAGAAGGAGACGCUCGAGCGCCGGCUUCAGGACGUGGUGAUGGCCACUGACGUCAUUGAGGCCUGGGUUGCCGAGAACCGCAAGGGGGCUGCCGACGAUGCCACUGAGGCGGAGGGGGCCAUCCAGCCUGCUGACGUGCUGUCCAGGCAGAUGCUGGAGUGCACAGCUACUGAUUUGGCACUCGAGGACACCAUCUACGCGCUUGACAAAGCUGUCCAGGAAGGAUCGGUGCCCUUCGACGGCUACCUCAGGAGCGUGCGCGCACUUGCACGGGAGCAGUUCUUCCAGCGUGUCCUCUGCACCAAGGUUAACAAUGCGCAGCAGCAGGCACAGGUUGCUAGGAUGGCAGCACGGGCACCACAGUACGCCUCCUAG
Molecule: ribosomal RNA, 1218 nt
Filed under: Triticum aestivum (bread wheat)
Lineage: Eukaryota; Viridiplantae; Streptophyta; Magnoliopsida; Poales; Poaceae
Description: partial small subunit ribosomal RNA
Source: RNAcentral